UCUCCGUAGGUGAACCUGCGGAGGGAUCAUUACAGAGUUCAAGCCCUACCGGGUAGAUCUCCCACCCUAUGUUAUUAUUACUUUGUUGCUUUGGCGGGCCGUUAGGCUCCGGCCCAACUACCGGCCCCGGCUGGUAAGCACCCGCCAGAGGAUCCAAAACCCUGAAUAUUAGUAUCGUAUGAAUACUAUAUAAUAGUUAAAACUUUCAACAACGGAUCUUUUGGUUCUG
This 229-nucleotide unclassified non-coding RNA is filed under the name plant metagenome. Its description in RNAcentral is "partial contains small subunit ribosomal RNA, internal transcribed spacer 1, and 5.8S ribosomal RNA". The record is from RNAcentral.